Carassius gibelio (silver crucian carp) is the source of this 1661-nucleotide long non-coding RNA. RefSeq lists it as uncharacterized. The record is from RefSeq and is a predicted model, not a curated record. The transcript has 3 exons. Lineage: Eukaryota; Metazoa; Chordata; Actinopteri; Cypriniformes; Cyprinidae.
AAGCAUAGUGGCAUGUGCCAAUGACUUCUGGGAUCAGAUGUCAUGUCACAUAAUGUUCAAACUGCUGUUAUGUUAAUGUUUAGCUAUUGUGGGUUUUAGUAAAUAAUAUAGACAUCUAACAAACUGAAGUCGUGGUUACGUAAAUCAUCAUUUCUACCUCUAAUCAGCACAGGCUCCUUUGUGACAGAGAGGAAGUGAGCUGAAACGAAUUCUGCAGCGCGAUCCCAGAGGAGAGACUCGAUCAUUUUUGUGACUACACAUGCCCAGCAUCCUUUCGGAAUUCUUACCAUAUCUAUAAGCAGCAGCUAAAGCGAGCGGUAUACCAGGCAUGUCCUGAAAUAAAGCAGCUGUCAUCAAUAUCUCCUCUCUUGGGGGAUCCAUGACCAGAAUGCCUCCAAUUCCCAGAGUUGUCUUACUGCAGUAGCAAGGUACACAGAGUCCUGUUUUGGCACUAGUUAAACUAGAGCCCAUUCAUUUUUCUGUGAUGUAUUGAUGCCAUAAGCUGAUAUAUAACUCUCAGGCAGGUUUUAACAUGCUGACUGUGUUAGCUGCGGAAAGAGAUGAGAUCCUCUGCAUUGGUGAAAACUGAACUGUGUGGAGAAAAAGCACCACUUGAGCCAAAAGAAAGUGUGAAGGGGAUGCUGCGUGUCAUUGGCAGCCUCACUGAGAAGCAUCACGGAGGAUUCCUGGACUACACUGGAAAAACUGUGACCUGGUAAACCAGAACCGUAUGGUCGCAAAAAGGCUAAUCCAGGUCCAAACUGACCUUAAUAACCAUAAAAGGCACACAAGGAUUUAUGAGAGCAUUUUCAUACAGUAAAACUCUUAUCAGUUAAAGGGUUUUAUUUUGGUUUAAUCUUCAUUCCUUGUCAUGUUUCCGUUUGCCUUAGUUGGGUUUGUUCAAUAUUUUCUAUAGUUACUGAGUACAUUCCCCUGUUCUGUUAAUUAUCUUUAUUACUUUUCCUUGUUAUUACGUAAUUUUAUGCCCAGUCUUCAAUGUUUGGUGUCAUCUUAGUAGUGUUGUGAUUGCAUUCUCUAUGUAUUCCUUGGAUUUUGAAUUAAAGACUAUGCUGUCUUUGUUUUCAUAUAUUUGUCUGUAGCUGCCGCUUGUGACACUAACAUGACACUUGGGGCCGUAUGUAUAAAACACUCAGAGCUCAUUUUUAGUCUUAAAAUCCUAAGAAUGACAUAAUUUUUCUCUUAUUACUAGACUUAAUAAGAGUGAUUCAUAAAACUUCCUAAGUGUUAAGACUAAGUCUCAACUCCUAAAUUAUUUAAGAGAGCAGGAGAAGUGCCUUUUUUUAAUCUUUUUUUUUUUUUUUUUUUUUGACCCCACAUUUCACUUAAAUCAUCAUGAGUCAGCGUGACAGCAUGGGCAAGAAUUAUGAACGCACAAAUUGGCAUGUUUAUUUGCAUCAUCACAAAUAAAACAAUUGACUCUAAGCAACUAUGCAAUAUACUUAUAAAAUCUUUCAACACAUUUUUUUUUUUUUUUAAGUUUGAAGAUAGCAAAUUUCCCAGGCCGGACAUCACUUUUGGCCACUUCUUUAUGGCAGUUCAUUGACUUUCCAACUGACUGCAAACCAUGCUGCAAAAACAAGCCACGUUUAUGAGGAUUGUGGGCUUUCCUGGAGUUGUUGGAGCUCUUGAUGGAACUCAUG